CGUGCUCUCCAUCAUGCGCUGCGUCUGCUUCAACUGCUCCAAGAUCCUCGCCGAUGAGGAUGAUGAGGUCUCCUUUCCUUUUAAGACGUGUACCUGCGCAUUAAGUUUACCAGGUUAAUUGUUGGUCGGUGCAUAUCAUCAUCUAGCUAAACUGACAUCAUAACAAUCUUAGUUCUCACCAUUCACUAGCUAUAUUUAUGUUUGUCCAAUUCUGCACCUGUUCACUGAACAUGCAUGGUAAAUUUGAACUUUAUAGAAUCUUUCCAACGGUUUGGUGUGAUGGACCUGUAGAUGCAAUUGCUUUAGAUAGACUUCUUGCAUCUUUGUUAUGGACCUGCAACUCGACAUCCGAAGCCAAGAAUAUUUUUGUGAAUUUUCGGUCUCUUUGAUAGAGCCUGCUAUUGGUAGAACAAAAUAAGAAUGCAUUGAUGACGUGCCCCCCUAGCAGUGCAUAUUUCAUCAGUUGUUGUCUUUGGUAAAAUAAUCAGUACCAUGGAGCAUAAUUACAAACAACUUUACAGUUUCGUCUGAACCAAUUCUGAAAAGGUUGUUCUUGCAUGUUAGCUGCUAAUUAAGCAUUGUCAUAGGGUGGGCAUCUAUAUAUGCUUGUGUGCCUGAGUGCCUCUCUUGAUCUUGGCAUGUUAUUGACCAGUCUGGUAUCUCUUGCAGAAGGGUAAUAACAAGUUCAAGCAGGCUCUGAAAAUCAAGAACCCAAAAAAUAGAUUACGAAAAAUACAGGAGGCUUGCAAGAGCAAAAAGGUUUGUUCUGCGGGUGAGGAUGAUCUUGAGGGUCAGGACACCGAUGAGCCAGUGAAGAAAAGAGGUGGCUGUGGUGCUCAGCAGCCAAAGAUCACAGUUGAUGGUAUGAAGAUGGUUGCAGAGUUUAAAGCAACAAACAAGAAGAAUGGCGAUCAAGAUCAACUCCCUGAACCAGUGGAGCGAAAGCAAAUUCUCUCUGCCGAGAGGGUAUGUACACUAUUAUCUUUAUUUACUCCAUUAAAUACUAGGUUAUAAAAAAAUCAUCUAACCACCUCAUGGUAAAUUUCUUGGGGCAGGUUCUUAAUGUUCUCAAGCGUAUAAGUGAUGAGGAUUGUCUUUUGUUGGGCCUGGAUCCUAAAUAUGCUCGUCCUGAUUGGAUGAUACUGCAAGUCCUUCCAAUUCCUCCGCCGCCUGUGAGACCAUCUGUCAUGAUGGACACUUACUCCAGAAGUGAGGUUAGCCCAGUACUAGUAAAUUAUGACUACGAAUCCAAUGGUUUGUUGGUUGACAUGGCAGAUGGCACCCUUUCACUCACUGUUUGUUUAUCUUGCCGGUUCCUACAGGAUGAUUUGACUCACCAAUUAGCGAUGAUAAUUCGGCAUAAUGAGAAUCUGAGGAGGCAAGAGAGAAAUGGAGCCCCAGCCCACAUUAUAGCAGAGUUUGCUCAGUUGUUGCAGUUUCACAUUGCAACAUACUUCGACAAUGAUCUUCCAGGGCAACCAAGGGUGAGUAGUCAGUCUACAAGUGCACUUUCCACAUUAAUUAAUCACUAAUGCUAAGUAGUUGACCUGAUUAUCUUCUGCCGAAA
Molecule: long non-coding RNA, 1567 nt
Filed under: Triticum aestivum (bread wheat)
Lineage: Eukaryota; Viridiplantae; Streptophyta; Magnoliopsida; Poales; Poaceae
Description: long non-coding RNA (TAES_LNC009386)
Source: RNAcentral